UCUAACACUAACUUUUGAAAAUAUUGAGGAUUCCAAUAGACAUUCUAAGCAUUGACUUUAUUGAAUAACUGAAUAAAAUCAAUAUAUUAUAAAACUAAAUUUUAUAUAUUCAAAUGAAUCUGGUUGUUUGUGUAACAAUUUUGCCCAUUUACUUGCUGUCUACAAGCCAAGCUAAUGAUUUUGAUUUAGCAGACCCACCCGAUAUCUCAGGAAUGUUGUGCGAUACUUGUGAGGCGAACAGAGGUUGCAAAAUAAGCCAAACUGGUUACAAUUGCAUGUUUGACUCCGAUCAAACGGCAAUUGCAAAUCACACCGGGGAUUCGGUUACCCCGCCGUAUCUCUUACAAUGCUUACCCAGAGGCUUUUUCAUUCAACGACAAAUAUCUUCACUUUGCUGCCAGUGGUCCCCGAAAACAGGAUGUACUAUGAUCAAGAAUAAUAUGGUGGCCAAUGAAAUUGACUGCACGUUUUGCGCGAGACUAGAGGAGAUCGAUGGGAAGCCAGUUCAAUCGUAUUGUCCUUGCAAAGGUAGCUAUCUCAGAUCUGGUCCUAUUUUAAUAAAGUUCAUUCUGGCUCUAAUAGUCCAAGGCUCAAAUACUUUAACUAUAUAAUAUUUCCUUUGACUUUAAACUAAAAUUCUGUGCACCAUUUGA
Long non-coding RNA from Drosophila willistoni, 653 nucleotides. RefSeq lists it as uncharacterized. The record is from RefSeq and is a predicted model, not a curated record. Lineage: Eukaryota; Metazoa; Arthropoda; Insecta; Diptera; Drosophilidae. The transcript is spliced from 2 exons.